Molecule: ribosomal RNA, 984 nt
Filed under: Triticum aestivum (bread wheat)
Lineage: Eukaryota; Viridiplantae; Streptophyta; Magnoliopsida; Poales; Poaceae
Description: partial small subunit ribosomal RNA
Source: RNAcentral
AUGCCUAUGAACUAUUCACUUGUUAUUAAACCAUUUGAUGUUUGGGGCUUCGAUUAUAUGGGACCUUUUCCUUCUUGUAAUGGGUAUACACAUAUUUUAGUUCCCUUUGAUUAUGUUACUAAAUGGGUAGAAGCUAUUCCAACUAGUAGUGCUGAUCAUAACACUUCUAUUAAGAUGCUUAAAGAAGUUAUUUUUCUGAGGUUUGGAGUCCCUAGAUAUUUAAUGACUGAUGGUGGUCCACAUUUUAUUCAUGGUGCUUUCCGUAAAAUGCUUGCUAAGUAUGAUGUUAACCAUAGAAUUACAUCUCCAUAUCAUCCUCAGUCUGGUGGUCAAAUAGAAUUAAGUAAUAGAGAGCUUAAAUUAAUUUUGCAAAAGACAAUUAAUAGAUCUAGAAAGAAUUGGUCUAAGAAACUUGAUGAUGCAUUAUGGGCUUAUAGAACCGCUUGUAAGAAUCCUAUGGGUAUGUCUUCGUACAAAAUGGUUUAUGGAAAAUCAUAUCACUUACCUCUUGAACUAGAACAUAAGGCAUAUUGGGCUAUUAAAGAGCUCAAUUAUGAUUUCAAACUUGCCGGUGAGAAGAGGUUAUUUGACAUUAGCUCACUUGAUCAAUGGAGAACCCAAGCCUAUGAGAAUGCCAAGUUGUUUAAAGAAAAAGUUAAAAGAUGGCAUGACAAAAGGAUACAAAAGCAUGAGUUUAAUAUAGGUGAUCAUGUUUUGCUAUACAACUCUCGUUUAAGAUUUUUUGUAGGAAAGCUUCUCUCUAAAUGGGAAGGUCCUUACAUCAUCGAGGAGGUCUAUCGUUUCGGUGCCAUAAAAAUCAACAAUGUCGAAGGCACAAAUCCGAAGGUGGUAAAUGGUCAAAGAAUCAAACAUUGUAUCUCAGGUACUCCCAUAAAUGUUGAGACUAAUAUAAUUAAUACCAUAACGCCAGAGGAGUACAUAAGGGACACUUUCCAGAAUGUUUCAGACUCCAAAAAGGAAUAG